Molecule: transfer RNA, 71 nt
Filed under: Cordylochernes scorpioides
Lineage: Eukaryota; Metazoa; Arthropoda; Arachnida; Pseudoscorpiones; Chernetidae
Description: tRNA-Gly
Source: RNAcentral
UGCAUCGGCCGGGAAUCGAACCCUGGCCGCCCGCAUGGCAGGCGAGCAUUCUACCACUGAACCACCGAUGC